AGGGUUCUCUAGGUAUUAUGUCUGAGGAAA
RNAcentral lists this non-coding RNA (30 nucleotides) under Rattus norvegicus (Norway rat). The record is from RNAcentral. Lineage: Eukaryota; Metazoa; Chordata; Mammalia; Rodentia; Muridae.